Molecule: ribosomal RNA, 163 nt
Filed under: uncultured Vibrio sp.
Lineage: Bacteria; Pseudomonadati; Pseudomonadota; Gammaproteobacteria; Vibrionales; Vibrionaceae
Description: partial 16S ribosomal RNA
Rfam family: Bacterial small subunit ribosomal RNA
Source: RNAcentral
UGGGGAAUAUUGCACAAUGGGCGCAAGCCUGAUGCAGCCAUGCCGCGUGUAUUGAAGAAGGCCUUCGGGUUGUAAAGUACUUUCAGUCGUGAGGAAGGCGGCGUCGUUAAUAGCGGCGUUGUUUGACGUUAGCGACAGAAGAAGCACCGGCUAACUCCGUGCC